AGGGCCAUAUCAUUUUGAAACAACGGUUCUCAUAUGAUCACCGAAGUUAAGCAACAUUAAGCCUGAUCAGUGCCGAGAUUGGUGACUGCUUGAGAAUACCAGGUGCUGUA
This is a non-coding RNA of Acanthosepion pharaonis, 110 nucleotides long. The record is from the annotation of a GenBank genome assembly. NCBI's taxonomy places the organism in Eukaryota, Metazoa, Mollusca, Cephalopoda, Sepiida, Sepiidae.